AUUGAACGCUGGCGGCAGGCCUAACACAUGCAAGUCGAACGGUAACAGGAAGAAGCUUGCUUCUUUGCUGACGAGUGGCGGACGGGUGAGUAAUGUCUGGGAAACUGCCUGAUGGAGGGGGAUAACUACUGGAAACGGUAGCUAAUACCGCAUAAUGUCGCAAGACCAAAGAGGGGGACCUUCGGGCCUCUUGCCAUCGGAUGUGCCCAGAUGGGAUUAGCUAGUAGGUGGGGUAACGGCUCACCUAGGCGACGAUCCCUAGCUGGUCUGAGAGGAUGACCAGCCACACUGGAACUGGGACACGUUCCAGACUCCUACGGGAGGCAGCAGUGGGGAAUAUUGCACAAUGGGCGCAAGCCUGAUGCAGCUAUGCCGCGUGUAUGAAGAAGGCCUUCGGGUUGUAAAGUACUUUCAGCGGGGAGGAGGGAGUAAAGUUAAUACCUUUGCUCAUUGACGUUACCCGCAGAAGAAGCACCGGCUAACUCCGU
This 488-nucleotide ribosomal RNA is filed under the name uncultured bacterium. RNAcentral's name for it is "partial 16S ribosomal RNA". It matches the Rfam family "Bacterial small subunit ribosomal RNA", at positions 30 to 506 of the family's 1533-position model. The record is from RNAcentral.